UACUCUUGACAUCCUGCGAACUUUCGAGAGAUCGAUUGGUGCCUUCGGGAACGCAGAGACAGGUGCUGCAUGGUUGUCGUCAGCUCGUGUCGUGAGAUGUUGGGUUAAGUCCCGCAACGAGCGCAACCCCUAUCAUUAGUUGCUAACAUUUAGUUGAGGACUUUAAUGAGACUGCUUACGCAAGUAAGAGGAAGGUGGGGACGACGUCAAAUCAUCAUGCCCCUUAUGUCUAGGGCUACACACGUGAUACAAUGGCUGGUACAAAGGGUUGCGAACUCGUGAGAGUAAGCCAAUCCCAUAAAGCCAGUCUAAGUUCGGAUUGGAGUCUGCAACUCGACUCCAUGAAGUUGGAAUCACUAGUAAUCGUGGAUCAGAAUGCCACGGUGAAUACGUUCUCGGUUCU
Molecule: ribosomal RNA, 403 nt
Filed under: uncultured bacterium
Lineage: Bacteria
Description: bacterial SSU rRNA
Rfam family: Bacterial small subunit ribosomal RNA
Source: RNAcentral